AUGUUCUCUGUAGCUGUGCUGCUGCUGCUGCUGGCUGCUGGAUCCUGUGUAAAGUGUGAAACGCUGACUCAGCCAGCCUCUGUGACUGUGCAGCCAGGUCAACGUCUGACCAUCACCUGUCAGGUCUCUUAUUCUGUUAGUGGCUACAACACAGCUUGGAUCAGACAGCCUGCAGGAACAGGACUGGAGUGGAUUGGACUUCACUGUGCUGGAUGCACUGCAUAUUACAAAGAUUUACUGAAGAACAAGUUCAGUAUCAGCCUCGACUCUUCCAGCAAAACAGUGACUCUAAACGGACAGAAUGUGCAGCCUGAAGUAACUGCUGUGUAUCACUGUGCCAGAGAGCCACAGUGA
Centropristis striata (black sea bass) is the source of this 354-nucleotide non-coding RNA. Lineage: Eukaryota; Metazoa; Chordata; Actinopteri; Perciformes; Serranidae. The record is from the annotation of a RefSeq genome assembly.